This is a non-coding RNA of Vicugna pacos (alpaca), 2392 nucleotides long. NCBI's taxonomy places the organism in Eukaryota, Metazoa, Chordata, Mammalia, Artiodactyla, Camelidae. The record is from RefSeq and is a predicted model, not a curated record.
CGCCUAACACCGCAGCCUGGCUCCGGCCACAACCAGGCGUCAGGGGUGGCUGACGGGUGACCGCCAUGACUUCACCAAGUGCCAGCCCUGUCGUGGCUGCUGCGCUGCGUGGGCAGUUCUGCGGGAACAGAAUCACUCAGCUUCCGAUCACUCUUACAUGGCCGUGGAUCUGGUGACUGAGAAGCAGUUUUUCUCCACCUGGGACGGACUGUGAGGCCUGUUCACACUCCGCCCAGAGACAAGUUAACUCUCCCUCCUUCACAGCAUCGGCCAGGUGGGACCCUCCGCAUCUUGACCACGGGCGGGACACCACGUUUGUCCACGACACUGAUGGCAUCUCAUUCACUGGACCUGAGGGGUGGAGGGUGCCCAGCGCUCUGUUGCUCUGGUGUAUAGUCCAUAAGACAUUUUUUUUAAAGAAAAGAGAAAUUCAGAGAUGCAGAGCCUGCCAGAGCAGUGAACUUUACAGAGGUCCUGUUCCCUGAGGCCCGCCCAGGCGCACCCUGUGUAGUAAGGCAGCUGCCACCACCCCUACAACACCCACCACGAAGAAAGAGGCCCACGUCCAGGUACGCACCCUUGGGUCAUGGAAGCGGCACGUACCCUGCCUGAGAAUGCGGGUGGCCGCUCCGGGGACCGAGAAGCUUGCGGGUCUGAGGGCAGCCCGCGGGAGGACGGGGCUCUGCAGCAGCUUGGGGCUGCAGCCCGAGGACCCCGCGGCCACAGCGGCGCAAUCCGCCAGAUCCCGUGGUGCCACGAGUGUCUGCGUGUGCCUGGAGGCUGUGCCAAUCCUCUGCCGAGCCCCAGGGGCAGAGUCUGUGGGUUCAUGUCCUCACACCCACCACCUGCAACAGAGAGCUGGAUGCCACUUAAAAAUUGCUCCUGACAGGCCCCUGGUCCCCAAUGAGACACUGAAUGACUCACAGAGACAUCGUGUCCGAGCAACUGGAACUUUCCGGGAUGAGCUAGCUGGGUGUUGUCAUUCCCACUGCUGGAUGAGUGUGGCAAGCCGGGGGCCAGGGACAGAUGCAGAAGACAAGGUGAGUCGCACAAAGACAGCCCCUCCGGACCUGGCCCUGUCACAGGGACACCUCUCCCUCUACAGCUUGCUGGCCUGGAUCGUGCCUGGGCAGUGCCAGGUCUGGGAGCAGUGCUGCUCCACAGCCCUACACGGGGGCCUCUGAAAGAUACUGAGGAGAGAAAACGCGUUCGGGGGGCAGACGUCUGGGUGAUGACAAGCUAAUGCUGUUUUGUGUGUGGAAAGAAAACAGGUUAGAUGUGAAGAUGUACACGGCCCCGGAGACGGCACAGAUGCCCUGCCGAGACGGUCAGGGGACUAGAAGGAGCAGAACUGACUGGGAGGAAACAGGCCAUCAGGGAGGAGAAGUGUGUAUGACUGGGGGCAACGCACCUGGGUCUGUGAAUGAGAUGAUAACGUCCCCUGCAGAGCCCCACUGCAGACAAGGUCCUUAGUAACCAAGGGGACAGGACGGCUCCUCCAGUGCACAUCAGCCAGCCUCUGCCCUCCGUGUUCACAUGGGCCUCUGAAGGAUGGCCGUGGUGGCUGAGACGCAGGCUGGUCACACGCCUGGAAUCACGGCCUGACCACCUUUCACUGAGUGACCCCACCAGACUCCGCAGGAGGCCCACCGUGUCAGCCGUGGAAAUGCACACUGAGUCCUUAAUGUUGUGUCAUUCCUCCUGGAAGCAGAUCAGACAUGUGGUUGUGGGUGGAUUUCGUCCCUGGUGGGUGCCGCGGGCACUGACUGGGCCCGACCAGCACGUGCCUGUGUGCAUACCGAGGCACAGGAUGCACCCCCAUUAAGUGUGCAGUUUGAUCAGCUUUGGCCAGUGUAGAGAUGCAUGUAGCAACUGUCACACAGUCAGCAUGUAAAAAACUGCCAUCACUCCUGAAGCUCCAGGGUGACCCUGUAGUCAGCCUCUCGUGCUUACUGCUCAUUUAUGUAUCUCCUCUUGAUAAAUGUCUGUUCAAAUUGUUUUGUUUGUGUGGGAAGGUUUUAUUAUUAUUUAUUUGUAGGAGUCCUUACUUAUCCCACACACAAACGCUUUAUCCCGCACACAUACUAUAUGUAUACAAAACCCAUUUCUCCUCUUGUGGAGGCUUGUUUCUUCCGUUACAUAACACCGCCUUUUGAAGAGCAAGUUUUUAAUUUCGUAAAUCCAACGAGUCUUUUUUGGUUAUUGUUUGGCCUUUUUGUAACUUUCUUGAGAAACGUGUGUCUAAUCCAAGGUUGUUAAGACUUUCUUUCAUGUUUUCUUUGAGGUGCUUCAUGGUUUUGACUGUUGCAGUUGGAUCUAUGGUCCGUUUCACGUGACUCAUUCCGUCUGGUGUGAGGUAGUGAAGGUGAAUUUUUCUCCAAAUAGAUAUCCA